AUGGAAACAACAGCUAUCGCCAGUCGUAUUCAGUUUAUACUACUGAAAGACAGCUGCCUACGCAAUUUCCAUUGUCCAGCUUGCAUCCUCUCUGUAGCCUCGCCACCUAUGACCUCGUCAAUGAGGUCCCGGAAGAUGGAUCUUUCAAUGUCCAAAACCAUGCCUUGUAGCUCACCUUCAGGGCUACCCCAAUCUUUCAUCUCAUACAAUGCAUCCUCAGAUAAUGGUAUGUUUUCAUCCUCAUCCUCUUCGGAGCAUAUCGCUGCCGAGCUCUCGGACAAGAGCCUGUCGACCUCUGUGCACAAUUCCUUGAAAAGACGCCACCCACUUAACUUCCUUGAUCGAAGAAGUUUCGCUGUUCCACUUGCAGAGCUAUAUAUGUUCAUCUUCUGA
Molecule: ribosomal RNA, 393 nt
Filed under: Triticum aestivum (bread wheat)
Lineage: Eukaryota; Viridiplantae; Streptophyta; Magnoliopsida; Poales; Poaceae
Description: partial small subunit ribosomal RNA
Source: RNAcentral